GAUGAACGCUGGCGGCGUGCCUAAUACAUGCAAGUCGAGCGAACAGACGAGGAGCUUUCUCCUCUUACGUUAGCGGCGGACGGGUGAGUAACACGUGUAUAACCUACCUAUAAGACUGGGAUAACUUCGUGAAACCGGAGCUAAUACCGGAUAAUCUAUUGAACCGCAUGGUUCAAUAGUUAAAGACGGUUUUGCUGUCACUUAUAGAUGGAUCCGCUCCGCAUUAGCUAGUUGGUAAGGUAACGGCUUACCAAGGCGACGAUGCGUAGCCGACCUGAGAGGGUGAUCGGCCACACUGGAACUGAGACACGGUCCAGACUCCUACGGGAGGCAGCAGUAGGGAAUCUUCCGCAAUGGGCGAAAGCCUGACGGAGCAACGCCGCGUGAGUGAUGAAGGUCUUCGGAUCGUAAAACUCUGUUAUUAGGGAAGAACAAAUGUGUAAGUAACUAUGCACGUAUUGACGGUACCUAAUCAGAAAGCCACGGCUAACUACGUG
Molecule: ribosomal RNA, 497 nt
Filed under: uncultured bacterium
Lineage: Bacteria
Description: partial 16S ribosomal RNA
Rfam family: Bacterial small subunit ribosomal RNA
Source: RNAcentral